This 467-nucleotide ribosomal RNA is filed under the name uncultured bacterium. Its description in RNAcentral is "partial 16S ribosomal RNA". It matches the Rfam family "Bacterial small subunit ribosomal RNA", at positions 28 to 506 of the family's 1533-position model. The record is from RNAcentral.
GACGAACGCUGGCGGCGCGCUUAACACAUGCAAGUCGAACGGAAAGACCCUGCUUUUGUGGGGUGCUCGAGUGGCGAACGGGUGAGUAACACGUGAGUAACCUGCCCUUGACUUUGGGAUAACUUCAGGAAACUGGGGCUAAUACCGGAUAGGAGCUCCUGCUGCAUGGUGGGGGUUGGAAAGUUUCGGCGGUUGGGGAUGGACUCGCGGCUUAUCAGCUUGUUGGUGGGGUAGUGGCUUACCAAGGCUUUGACGGGUAGCCGGCCUGAGAGGGUGACCGGCCACAUUGGGACUGAGAUACGGCCCAGACUCCUACGGGAGGCAGCAGUGGGGAAUAUUGCACAAUGGGCGGAAGCCUGAUGCAGCAACGCCGCGGGCGGGAUGACGGCCUUCGGGUUGUAAACCGCUUUCGCCUGUGACGAAGCGUGAGUGACGGUAAUGGGUAAAGAAGCACCGGCUAACUACGU